Molecule: long non-coding RNA, 1296 nt
Organism: Carya illinoinensis
Lineage: Eukaryota; Viridiplantae; Streptophyta; Magnoliopsida; Fagales; Juglandaceae
Exons: 2
Source: RefSeq, a predicted model, not a curated record
UGCACUUUCAAACUCUUCUCCCUCUAUAUAAUCCUUAAAAUCUCCUCGGAAACCUACGCAUAUUCAUAGGAAGACAAUCUUACGUAAACACGACAUGCAAGCACAGGGAUCGACGCUACCAACGAAGUCUCCUUCUCCGUCCAAUUCUCCAGCGACUUGACCGACCAAUUGUCUGCCGUUUCAUCUCCAACUUCAAAGUCCCCCGAAGAGCGUCGUUUGCAACGCGCGUUUGUAUACAAAAAUCUGUAUAUAAACUCAACGAUCAAAAGGUUUCAGAAUUCACAAAGAGAAUUGAAACGAGUCUGUCAACUCUAAUGACAAAACCAAACCCUGGGAAAAUUUCAUCUCCUAUUCCACCCGUUCUUCCCCUCCAAAAAUUGGUUGUAUGGCAAUGAGCCCAAGGAGAUUCACCCGCUUGAAGUCGUACUAGCCAGCCCUGACCGCCACAUGGUGGGCCAGAUUCCCUCCGGCACUCUCUCCGGCAAGGAAACAAUGCCCAAGAUCAGAGUUGGCAGUUAGAUCGUGGCUGUCCAUUUCGUCGAUGAAUCUCAACGCGUCGGACCCGUCUUCAUACUGGCACGGAAACCUCUGCUGUGGAAGAGUGCCGAAGUGUGUGGAAGGUGCUUGCCAUUCAAUCAGAGUGUCUAAGUGUCUAAGAGAGACAACGUCGUUCUCAUUCAAUUAGAGUACAAGGGGCUAGAAAUAUGGCUGUUGGGGGUGGUUUCUAUGGUGUUUGGCAUUGGGUGCUGGCUGGGCUUUGGUGGAUUGCUUUUCCUGAGGUGGUUCGAAAAUGCGGCUGUGUGGCGAGGAGCCCCUGCGUGCGGACUGGGCAUGGGGGAGGCCACGACGUGAGAUUCGAUUUAAAAUUGUGUUGUGGUAAUUGCAUGUUGCAUCGACCUGAGCUGUCUCAUGUUAUUUAUCCAUUUAAUUGCAUGCAUUGUGUAGACCGUUCAGGGGCUAAAAUUCCAUUGCUUUGGGAGCAAACUGUUGAUUUUAGAUAUAUAUAACCCUAAGUUUGAAAUCGUGAAUGAUCUUGAUCAGGAUAAAGCAGUGAGUGUUGAAGUUUCUUUGUUCAUUGAUGGCAUGUAAUUUUUUUAUCAUAAUUCAAAUGCUAGAUCUACUUGCUUUUGAAUAUCUUAUAUAUGUGCAGCCUCGAGUAAUAGAGGGUCGAGCAGCAUUUUCUGGAUUUGAGGUAAAAAAAAAAGGAGGCUGUACAUGACGUUCGCAAAAAUAGGUACAGAUCAUUUUGUUCGAUGCAUGAUUGCAUGUUGUCUAAUUUUUGACAAUUACUGAUCA